Molecule: ribosomal RNA, 1449 nt
Filed under: human gut metagenome
Description: bacterial LSU rRNA
Rfam family: Bacterial large subunit ribosomal RNA
Source: RNAcentral
CUUGGAAGCAGCCAUUCAUUUAAAGAGUGCGUAACAGCUCACUAGUCGAGCGAUCCCGCGUGGAUAAUACACGGGCAUAAAACUGUCAACCGAAGCCGUGGGGUUAGCUUUAUUGCUAACCGGUAGGAGAGCAUUCCUGCCAGCUUUGAAGGUCACCCGCGAGAGUGACUGGAGCGGCAUGAAAAGCAAAUGUAGGCAUAAGUAACGAUAAUGGGGGCGAGAACCCCCCACGCCGCAAGACCAAGGAUUCCCCGGCAAUGUCAAUCAGCCGGGGGUCAGCCGGCCUCUAAGGCUAACCCGAAGGGGGACGCCGACGAGAAACGGGUUAACAUUCCCGUGCUUCUCGUCACCGUGACGCGGUGACGGGGUGAUGAAUGGACCGCGCGCUGACGGAAUAGCGCGUUGAAGACCGUACCCUUUGACGGUGGUAGUCAAGCACGCCACCGGAGGCGAAAGUCGAUAGUACCUCGAGGCCUCGGCCGAGGGGAUAGCGUCCAGGCAAUUAACCCCCUAGAAAACCCGCUAAACUUCAAGUGACGAGGAACCGUACUGUAAACGGACACACGUGGUCGGGUAGAACAUACCAAGGCGCUCGAGUGAUUCAUGGUCAAGGAACUAGGCAAAAUAGUCCUGUAACCUCGGGAAAAAGGACGCUCUAGUGAUAGAGCCGCAGAGUAAUGGCCCAGGCGACUGUUUACCAAAAACACAUGGCUAUGCCAAAUCGAAAGAUGACGUAUAUGGCCUGACACCUGCCCGGUGCCGGAAGGUUAAGAGGAGAGCUCAUCCGCGAGGAGAAGGUUUGAAUUGAAGCCCCGGUAAACGGCGGCCGUAACUAUAACGGUCCUAAGGUAGCGAAAUUCCUUGUCGGGUAAGUUCCGACCUGCACGAAUGGUGUAACGAUCUGGGCACUGUCUCGACCAUGAGCUCGGUGAAAUUGUAGUUCCGGUGAAGAUGCCGGGUACCCGCGACGGGACGGAAAGACCCCGUGAACCUUUACUGCAGCUUCGCGUUGUUCCCGGGCACGGGACGUGUAGGAUAGGUCGGAGGCUACGAUUCGGUUUCGCCAGGAAUCGAGGAGCCAUCGUUGAAAUACGACCCUUCUCUUGUCUGGGAUCUAACCCUGGUUAUAGGGGACACCGCGUGGUGGGUAGUUUGACUGGGGUGGUCGCCUCCAAAAGCGUAACGGAGGCUUCCAAAGGUACCCUCGGGUUGGUUGGUAAUCAACCUCAGAGUGCAAUGGCACAAGGGUGCUUGACCGGGAGACCAACGAGUCGAUCGGGUGCGAAAGCAGGGCAUAGUGAUCCGGUGAUCCCGCGUGGAAGGGUCAUCGCUCAAAGGAUAAAAGGUACUCCGGGGAUAACAGGCUGAUCGCCCCCAAGAGCUCAUAUCGACGGGGCGGUUUGGCACCUCGAUGUCGGCUCGUCACAUCCUGGGGCUGGAGAAGGUCCC